AGCCAAGAGCAGGCAGAUCUGCGACUGAGGCUAAACUCAGAGACUGGAAUUCAACUGAUAUGCUGUCUCCUGCCUUAUGCCUUUCUUCUUAGACCAGACCAUCCCACCAGGAUAUGAGAAAAGUGAGUCUCAGAGAGGCUGCCACUUGCCUGAAGUCAUUCAGCCAGGGAGUAACUUGUUUGCCACUGGAAAUAAGUCAUCUGACUCCAGAGCCCUCCUGUAUGACCUUCUGGUAUUUACUUUCUCAUUCUAGUCAGGCAUUCCUGAGAUCCUGAUAAGGAAUACAGAACUAAUAAGCCACCACCAACCGGAAGAGUUCGGGAAAGGUCUAAAGGAGACACCACGUGUCCGUCCACUUCCCAGAAUCCCUCUCGCUGGCAUCCAUCUUGGCUGAGUGAUGCAUGCACCACCAGGAAAGACUCUGAAUUAGAAUGAUUGGUCAAAGACCACCCAGAAACUAAUCCCAUCACCCUAAAACCCGACAUUGUGAGCCACGCGGCAGAGCAGUUCUCCUGGGUUCCCUGACCCUACUGCUCUCCAG
Long non-coding RNA from Bos taurus (domestic cattle), 541 nucleotides. Lineage: Eukaryota; Metazoa; Chordata; Mammalia; Artiodactyla; Bovidae. The record is from Ensembl.